RNAcentral lists this unclassified non-coding RNA (5207 nucleotides) under Leishmania donovani. RNAcentral's name for it is "gene:LdHU3.17.2140(CDS-product:Ion_transport_prot ein_putative)". The record is from RNAcentral. Lineage: Eukaryota; Euglenozoa; Kinetoplastea; Trypanosomatida; Trypanosomatidae.
GCGACCACGCGUGCCUCUGAUUCUCUACCUCUCGAUGUGUCUACCCGUGGGGGGCGAUCAAACGCCCACCGCUCUUGCGCACCUUCUCUUCCCACUUCUUGUCGCCUUGUCGGAGACGCCCAUCAUCAUCGGCAUUGCCUCAUGCAGUACCUUCUCCUGGCGAGCUCCCGCGCCGACACCUUUCAGAGUUGGUCACCGACUCAAAUCGCUGUCACCCGCAAUGACGGAGCUCCUUUUUUCAGUCCAGGGGCCGCAAACGCUCUGCGCCGCGGCUGCUAUCGAUUCGUCGGGAGUCGCCCAGUGCUGAUUAGCUGGGUCGUCCUCGUGUGCCUCAGCACUGCGAUGGCGCUGGCGAUACAGCCACGAUACGACUUAGGCGUUGCCACUUACACUACUCUGUAUGCGCUACAGUUAAUCUGCCUCGCGUUCUUUUGGGUGCGCAUGGUGGCAGAGAUCAUUGCCGGUGGGCUCCUCGGGGGCUCACACGGCUUCCUGCGCAGCGUGUGGAACUGGGUCGAGGUCGGGGCAAACGUCUUUGGCCUCCUCCAGGUGAUUCCUCCGAUGUUCCACAUCCGCUGGAUGCGGGCUUUCGCGGCAGCGCGCCCAUUGCGCUUCUUUGUUUUUGUGCCGUGGUGGAGGGAGCAGCUGGUCCCUCUUUGCCGCGCCUUUCCGCGGUUGCUCGACGUGAUGAUCACCCUGGGCCUGUGCCUCUUGGCCCUGGGGCUCACCGGUGUCAUGGGGGUGGGCGGGGAGCUCCACCAGCGCUGCUACAUCACAAAUACCACCGGCUCUAGCCCGUACGAAAACCUGACGCUACCUUUUCUGUUGCGCAACAUCUCGGCGGCCUGCGGCGUGGGCUUCUCGUGUCCCACCGUCUCUGCGGAAGUGACCGUGCAGUGCCUGGCCAUAGCGCACGCUCACCGCGAUCGCUUCUUCACGUACGACAAUGCUGGGGCUGCGCUGCUGCUCAUGUUCAAGGUGGCAUCGAUGGACAUGUGGUUUGAAAACCUGGAAGAUAUCAUGAACGUCAAAGGCGCCAGCGCCGCGCUGUACCUCGUCGUCGUCGCCCUCGUCUCCCUGUUCCUAUUCGUACUCCUCACAAGCGUGGUGCACGGCGCCUACGCGCCGGUCGACACGUGGUGCGCGCCCUCCUUUACUGCGAAGGUGGGGCCAGCAGCACGGCAGCGGCAGGACUGCGGCGUGCAGACACUACCAGCAUGGCCGAAGACGCGACAGCACUGCUCAGCACGACCGACGCACGCGCACCAGCGCACGCACUCCAUGGAUGACGGCAGAGAGGUGGAGGGGGAUGUGCGAAGACAAAACCCGCUGAGUGGCGACGGCGGUGGCCAACAGGCACCACUAUACGCCUCGCGCAUUCCCGCAGAGGGCACCCUUGUCGCGCGUGAAUUUCCCCGUCACGUGCGCGACUUUGAGCGCGAUCUUCACGUGCUGGGGUUUCGGGCAGCGCUGCGUGCUCUCGAGGCGACCACCACCACUGGCGCUGGUGGCGCACCCCUGCUUCCUCUCAUGGCGUCUCUGGUGGACAGCCUCCCAUUUGUGAUUCUCCUUAUGGUGCUCUCCGUGAGCAGCGUCAUGCUGCUCGCAGUGGUAUCGACAUCCACGCCUGACUCGGCGGCCCGCCUUCUUCACGCGAUUUCUGCGUCACUGGCGGUCUUCUUCAUCGUCCCCGCUGUGCUCCGGCUCAUGGCGUUCGGAUUGGUGCGGGCGUCAGUUGAUGUCUGGAACUAUGCGGACCUUCUCGCCGCCGUGAGUGGUGUUUUGGAGCUGGCCGCUCCCUCACUCUUUAAUUAUCGCGUUGUUGGCGCGGUGCGGGUGCUCCGCUGCGUCCGCGUUGCCAAGUACCUCUGUCCUCUUUACCGGUACGAGUACCGCCUCAAAGGUCUCCUCAGUCUUCUUCUUCUUACAUCCGCGACACUUACGCUGUACGCGUUGUUGGGCAUGCAACUAUUUGCAGGAACCUACGACGCAGGAGCAGCACCGGCGCCGAUCCGAAACGGAGACUUCAACACCGCCUGGACCGCGCUGCUCGCUUGCUUUCGCGCCUUCACAGGUGACAUGUGGACGCGUUACAUGGUCGCGGUGAGCGAGGGCGGCACCAUCGCGACUGGAUCGCUGUUCUUUCUCUCGCUGCAGCUCUUCUCCCGUAUGAUGCUUUUCGCAGUUGGCAGCUCUAUUAUUAUUCUCGGAUCACGCGACGCGGCCCGCGACGAGGACGCGCUCUGCAGUAACGCGUUCCCGCCGCUGCUGCUGCUGCCUCCGCUGAAAAAAGAUGAUACCACGGCCGCGGGCGCCGCCGUUGACACUCGCAAUGGCGCCAGGGACCUCUCGCCGUCACCAGACGCCGGUGCCACAGCCGAUCGGCGGCGACGGCGCCGCCGUCCAGGCCGCCAAGCUGCUGAGCUGGCCACAGAGAAGCGCCUUCGCGUACGCGGGGAUGCCUUUCUGUUCGUCGGUCCUAUGAAUCCCGUGCGUAUCCUGCUGCUGCGCGUGCUUGGAUCCCCCUUCUACACACUCAUCAGCACACUGUGCGUCGCAAUCGGCGUCGUUGCCCUCUUCUUUGAGCGACGCCACCUCGACGCCGGCACCGAACGCACGCUUCACCUCGUCAACAUCGUCUGCCUCGUGGUGUUCGUCGUGGAGAUGGUUAUGAAGUGGCUUGCCUACGGCGUCGUAACACAAGGUUGGAGCGACGGCGAGGAUCACUACCGGGAAGCACGCCCACGGUACAUGCCUGCCUACUUUCGGUAUCCGCUCAACUGGGUCGAUUUCGCCGCUAACGGUCUCGCCCUUGCCGCCGUUGCCUACCCGCCUCUCCGUGUCGGUCGGGUUAUUCGCACUCCCCGUCUCUUCACCACACAAGAGCGCCCAAACAAGUCGUUCGUGGAGCUUGUGAAGGUCUUGCGGUAUACGAUGAGGGUCGCUCCGCUCAUAUUUUUUCUCUACGUCGCGUUUGCAGUGACCGCCAUGCAGAUGUUUGCCGGCGGACUCUUCCGUUGCAGCGAUGCCGCCGUCACCACUUCGGCCGACUGCUUUGGCGACUACAACACCACCGUGAUGGGGUACACGGGGCCCACAACUAGUGUGCGGAAGCGGAGGUGGGUGCGGGCGGGUUUCCAUUACGACGCUUUUGGGCCCGCGCUCCUCUCGGUAUUUGCCAUGACGACGGUGAACCACUGGGGGAAUUUCAUGGACGAUGCCAUGGCGAUCACGCACACGAUGACGACUUACAACCAUUCCGGUUACUGUGUCGUUUUUUUCAUUGUCUCGCUACUGCUCAUCCGCUUCUUUGCUGUCCGUACAAUGGCGGCAGUCUUCAUUGCUGAGCUGCGGGGCGUCGUGAUGGACUCUCUGGGUACGGCGCAGCGCACGCCGCAUCAGAUCCGAUUUGUUGUUUCGCGCGAGUGUAUUGCCCACCUGACGCAACUGCAGCGUCUCCUUCCGCCGUUACCCACCGCUGUGAGCCGACUGUGCCACCGCAUCCUCUCGGCCCAGCCGGCCCACUGGCCGAUCACCGUCUUCGACGCUGUUGUGCAAGGCGUGCUCGUGGUUGUGUGCGGGUUUGUAGCCGCCACUCGCGCUGGCGAAUCGCUGUGGCAGAAACGCAUGAUUGUGGCGGUGGACUGCGUCGCGGUAGCGCUGUGCGGAGCGGAAGUGCUGCUGGGGAUGUUGGCCUACGGUGUGCGGUACCUGACUCGGGCGUCGUAUGCGGCAGAUGUGGUGCUUUUCGUUCUCAUGGUCGUCGGCGUCGCGUCGCCAUCGCUGCGCUUCGUGACCGUGGUGAUCUUCGUGAAGCUGAUCAAGGCCGCCAGCACAGGCCUGGCGCUGCUGCCUGCCAAACGCCAUAUUCGCAUGUUGCUUAGCUCCGGCGCGCUUGCUCUACUCGUCCUCCAUGCGUACGCAGUGGUGGGCACGCUACUGCUUGGCGACAUCGCCCCUGACGGCGUCUACCUGACCGAAAAGCGCAACUUCAGCACCGUAAUCCGGUCACUGCUGGUGCUGUUGGACUGCAGCACCUUUGACCAAUGGCACCUUGUCAUGCACGCAUGCUUUGACGGCGCCGCGUGUCACAGCGAUGCCUCCGCCACGUGCGGCCACACCUACAGCGCCGUGAUCUUUUUUGUCUCAUUCAUCGUCAUCGAGAGCCUCGUUGUGAGCCAGCUCAUGCUGGCGUCGGCCGUCGUCGUCUUCACGGUUCCCCUCUUCACCGACGUUAUUCAGCCUUUUGUAGACGUGCGGCGCGCCUGGCAGAGAGGCGUCGGCGCCGGCGAGCCCACGUGCGACUUUGACACGUUGCUGACUUUACUCCCUCGCUUCCCGGCCUCACUGACGGACGGCAUUACCAGUGAGACCUCCAGCAAGGCCGAUCUCAUGGCAUUUCUCUCCUCGCUGCGCCUUCCUCUCGAUGAGCACCUGAGACUGCGGUACGCAGACGUUCUUCGCGGCUUUGCGUACCGCAAGUACAAGGUCGAUCUGGACGACGACCGCGCCUGCUCGUCCGCGCGCGAUAGACGGAUGUACCUCACCGCUGGUGAGUACUAUGGUCAACUGCUGGUGCAACGGUACUGCGACGAGAUGUCUCGUCUGACGCACUCCUCCGUUGGCGACGCGCGCACGCUUAGCACUGGGCUGCCGGCUGCCACGCCUUCAUAUGACGGCGUUGGAGGCCACGACGUGCUCCGCGUCCACGGAGACGACACUCUCGUGCCCAAGGGCGCGCUGCCCAUCCCAAGCUCCAACGUCUUUCUCUACACGUUCCCCGGCGAGAGCAACGAGGACGGUGUCUUCCCCCCCCACAUCGUAGAAGAGCAGAGCGGAAAACAGCGAGGGACGGGAUGGCGAGGAGGCCCCACGUGACGCACUAUUCAGAUGUAAAUGUGUACUUGAGCAUCAGCGCACAGGACAGUGUGAUCACACUCAUAGACAGUUUUGGCCGCGCCCAGCGUGAAGCGACGCCGAUGAUAACCUCAGGCAAAACACCUGAGCGUAGUCGAAGCGACUAGGCGCAGCGUGAAAAUCGGUGCCGUAGGGAGAAACGGUGGUGCGCCACUCGUCUUGCGAAAGUCCUGUAUUCUGCGUAGCCGGGGGCCCAUUGGUGAUGCCGCGCGGAACUGGCGCGCUUGCGGGGACCCGUGGUCGAUGACUGGUUCUCCCAAGGCCGCAUGCCCGAGACGCAUCGCGCACUU